RNAcentral lists this unclassified non-coding RNA (260 nucleotides) under uncultured fungus. RNAcentral describes it as "sequence contains ITS2". The record is from RNAcentral. Lineage: Eukaryota; Fungi.
AACGCACAUUGCGCCCAUUAGUAUUCUAGUGGGCAUGCCUGUCCGAGCGUCAUUUCAACCCUCAGAUACCUAUAUGUCUGGCGUUGGGGCGUUCUGUAGCAUUUUGCUAUAGGCCUUAAAAAUUAGUGGCGGGCCCCCUGAAGAUCCUGAACGCAGUAAUUUCUUUCUCGUUCCCGGCGUUUUAGGGGCUGCCCAGCUGUCAAAUUUCUAAAUUUCAAAAGUCUGACCUCGGAUCAGGUAGGAUUACCCGCUGAACUUAA